This 245-nucleotide ribosomal RNA is filed under the name uncultured bacterium. RNAcentral's name for it is "partial 16S ribosomal RNA". It matches the Rfam family "Bacterial small subunit ribosomal RNA", at positions 333 to 570 of the family's 1533-position model. The record is from RNAcentral.
CAACUCCUACGGGACGCAGCAGUAGGGAAUUUUCGUCAAUGGGCGCAAGCCUGAACGAGCGAUGCCGCGUGAGUGAAGAAGGCCUUCGGGUCGUAAAGCUCUGUUGCGGGGGAAAAAAGGCAGCAUCAGGAAAUGGGUGCUGACUGAUGGUGCCCCGCCAGAAAGUCACGGCUAACUACGUGCCAGCAGCCGCGGGAAUACGUAGGUGGCGAGCGUUAUCCGGAAUGAUUGGGCGUAAAGCGUGC